This 390-nucleotide ribosomal RNA is filed under the name Dicrateria sp. RNAcentral describes it as "partial small subunit ribosomal RNA". It matches the Rfam family "Eukaryotic small subunit ribosomal RNA", at positions 582 to 975 of the family's 1831-position model. The record is from RNAcentral. Lineage: Eukaryota; Haptophyta; Isochrysidales; Isochrysidaceae.
AUUCCAGCUCCAAUAGCGUAUAUUAAAGUUGUUGCAGUUAAAACGCUCGUAGUCGGAUUUCGGGGCGGCUUCGUCGGUCUGCCGAUGGGUAUGCACUGACGCGGGCGUCCUUCCUUCCGGAGACGCGUCCUACUCUUAGCUGAGCGGGGCGUGGAGACGGAUCGUUUACUUUGAAAAAAUCAGAGUGUUUCAAGCAGGCAUCAUCGCUCUUGCAUGGAUUAGCAUGGGAUAAUGAAAUAGGACCUUGGUGCUAUUUUGUUGGUUUCGAGCACCGAAGUAAUGAUUAACAGGGACAGUUGGGGGCAUUAGUAUUUAAUUGUCAGAGGUGAAAUUCUUGGAUUUGUGAAAGACUAACUACUGCGAAAGCAUUUGCCAAGGAUGUUUUCAUCA